GCCCUUUCGGGGUACACGAGUGGCGAACGGGUGAGUAACACGUGGGUAAUCUGCCCUGCACAUCGGGAUAAGCCUGGGAAACUGGGUCUAAUACCGAAUAGGACCACAGGACACAUGUCCUGUGGUGGAAAGCUUUUGCGGUGUGGGAUGGGCCCGCGGCCUAUCAGCUUGUUGGUGGGGUGAUGGCCUACCAAGGCGACGACGGGUAGCCGGCCUGAGAGGGUGUCCGGCCACACUGGGACUGAGAUACGGCCCAGACUCCUACGGGAGGCAGCAGUGGGGAAUAUUGCACAAUGGGCGAAAGCCUGAUGCAGCGACGCCGCGUGGGGGAUGACGGCCUUCGGGUUGUAAACCUCUUUCACCAUCGACGAAGGUCCGGGUUUUCUCGGGCUGACGGUAGGUGGAGAAGAAGCACCGGCCAACUACGUGCCAGCAGCCGCGGUAAUACGUAGGGUGCGAGCGUUGUCCGGAAUUACUGGGCGUAAAGAGCUCGUAGGUGGUUUGUCGCGUUGUUCGUGAAAUCUCACGGCUUAACUGUGAGCGUGCGGGCGAUACGGGCAGACUUGAGUACUGCAGGGGAGACUGGAAUUCCUGGUGUAGCGGUGGAAUGCGCAGAUAUCAGGAGGAACACCGGUGGCGAAGGCGGGUCUCUGGGCAGUAACUGACGCUGAGGAGCGAAAGCGUGGGGAGCGAACAGGAUUAGAUACCCUGGUAGUCCACGCCGUAAACGGUGGGUACUAGGUGUGGGUUUCCUUCCUUGGGAUCCGUGCCGU
This 773-nucleotide ribosomal RNA is filed under the name uncultured Mycobacterium sp. RNAcentral describes it as "bacterial SSU rRNA". It matches the Rfam family "Bacterial small subunit ribosomal RNA", at positions 75 to 849 of the family's 1533-position model. The record is from RNAcentral. Lineage: Bacteria; Bacillati; Actinomycetota; Actinomycetes; Mycobacteriales; Mycobacteriaceae.